RNAcentral lists this ribosomal RNA (489 nucleotides) under uncultured bacterium. RNAcentral's name for it is "bacterial SSU rRNA". It matches the Rfam family "Bacterial small subunit ribosomal RNA", at positions 21 to 518 of the family's 1533-position model. The record is from RNAcentral.
GGCUCAGGACGAACGCUGGCGGCGUGCUUAACACAUGCAAGUCGAACGAGGAUCAGGGAGAGCUUGCUUGAACUGAUUCGAGUGGCGGACGGGUGAGUAACGCGUGAACAAUCUGUCUCACACAGGGGAAUAACGCAUCGAAAGAUGUGCUAAUACCGCAUAGGACCACGGGAGGGCAUCCUACCGAGGUGAAAGGAGCAAUCCGGUGUGAGGUGAGUUCGCGUCUGAUUAGAUAGUUGGUGAGGUAACGGCCCACCAAGUCAACGAUCAGUAGCCGACCUGAGAGGGUGAUCGGCCACAUUGGGACUGAGACACGGCCCAGACUCCUACGGGAGGCAGCAGUGGGGAAUAUUGGGCAAUGGGCGCAAGCCCUGACCCAGCAACGCCGCGUGAAGGAAGAAGGUUUUCGGAUCGUAAACUUCUGUCCUUGGUGGAGAUAAUGACGGUAGCCAAGGAGGAAGCCCCGGCUAACUACGUGCCAGCAGCCGC